This 29680-nucleotide long non-coding RNA is filed under the name Cicer arietinum (chickpea). Its description in RNAcentral is "long non-coding RNA (CARI_LNC001615)". Lineage: Eukaryota; Viridiplantae; Streptophyta; Magnoliopsida; Fabales; Fabaceae. The record is from RNAcentral.
UCCAACAAACUUAUAAGUUAACUUAUUGACAUUACCAAAUAGUGUCUUUAUACAAAAUAAGUAUUUCACUCAUUCACCACUCUAUCACCCACUAGCUCACAGCUUCGCGUAUAUCUUAUUCUCGUUGAACAAAGUUAAGUUUCUUUAAUUUCUUGACAAAAUAACUCAAAAAAAGAUAAUGUUAUUCAUUUUACGAGAAAUCGAUUAAGGUAUGUAUGGUCAUAUUUAUUGUUAUUUCUUUAUAUUCUAAUUAAAGUUAAAUUCAUUUUUAUGCCAAAUUAUAAAUAUAAAUGAACUGCAUUGUUUUUACGAUUACUAUUUAUACAUAUAUGAGAAUUAUUAAAUAUUUAGAUAACUUAAAUUUAUGUCUGUAUUGUAAUAAAAAAAAUAAAUAAUAUAACAAAAGAUAAUAAAUAAAUUACAUGGAUAUAGUUUUAAUUUCAAAGUUUUGCUGUAUUUUUUUAUUUCUCAAUAAAAAUAAAAUAAAGUGAAAAAUUGAUUUUAAAAAAGGAAAAUAAAGUAAAACAACGCUCAAGAAAAAUUGAAUACAAAUAUCAUAUUUUUUGUUAUUUUAAAUUAAAUAAUUAUAUAUUUUUAUAUUAUUAAAAAUUAAUUGUAUUAAAUAAUUUAAUUUAGAUUAACUAACCUUUCAACUAUAAAUUAUCAAUUAUUAACUACCAAGUAACUUUUCAACUGUGAACUAAUUUAUAGUCUAGGGAAUGGAGUCAAAGUUGAUUAUUUACUACUUGUUGAUGUGUCAAAAUAACACACCUGGUUGGAUAUAAAGAAUAUAGGUGAGAAGGUGUAAGUAGUGUGAGAAAAUCAAAUGGCAACAGUCUCUUGUAAGAACGACCCCGAAAUUCAAAUUUAUUGGUGUUAAAUUAAGAUCUCUCUUACAAAUUACUACCCGCGUCCCUGAAUCUCUGAUUCCUUUCUAGUAAUAGUACUACUAUACCAUCAUCAAUCUUUCAAACUUUCAUCCAUACCUCCACGGUAUCUACACCAUCGUCGACGACGACACUUACUGGUACGCUUUUAUUUCACACAACGAGCCAAGGUCGUGACGCCGAUCUCUGAUCUAUAUACAAUAUUGUCUGAUUUAUGAUUUUUCAAUUGAAAAAUACAUUAGACUUACAAUUUAAUUUUCAAAAGCAUUAGAGUUACGAGAUCCCAAGAAAUGUGUCUUACAUUAUGUCUAUUCAGAACUCACGCUUAAAUUCUUAAUACUUGAAGCUUGCUUAUCGCUUGAAAAACUCAAUCUCGCUGUACUGUUUACCCGAUGAUUUUAUCCUAGCUAUGUGAAUUGUGCAGAAUAUACAAUUAAAUUAUAUACUACAACAUGGUUUUUCUUGUUCAUUAUUAUAAUGUGUUUUAAAUUGGGAGUUUUGUCUUGUUUACAUGUAAUUUUGGUUUAGAAAGCUCAGUUAUUAUAAGAUAAAAGAAAAUUUAUUUUAAUUUAAUAAAUUACUCAGAAAACAAAAUUUAUGCUGAGACGGGACGUGAAUUGCAAGGUCAAGGUGUCUCAAGCAUUGUUUGGCUAUGAUUUCUUUAUCUUUAAAUUGAACAGCAUAGCUAUGUUUGCUUCACCUUAGUCUUUCGCCGUUGCCCUUCAUCCACUCUUAUUCAAAGCACAUAGUAGGCUCCAAAACUCCCCUAAGUAAUGUCUUGCUCACAGCCGCAGGGGAAGUCCUUAACAGAUUCAGCCCCCCACCCCCCAUAAGAAACCUUAUUCUUAAUUUCACUGAAUGGCCAUGUUUUGUGUUUAUUAGUACCUCUAUGUAUUACAUAUGCUUAUGUUGAUUUGCGCAAAUUGGAAAAAUAUGAGGAAUGGAAAUUGCAUUUGACUAACUCAGAUUGAUGGACUUUGCCACAAGAUGGCUGUUUUGCAGUAAAGGGGGAAAAAUUAUGAAAAGAAAAUGCCAGGAGUCAGAAAAUUCAAAUAGAGGCCAAGUUAGCUACCCCAAAGUUUGUUUAUUCUCUGUAUAUUUUAUUCUUUAUCUAUCUCUGGAUACUUGCUCAGAUGUUGAGAAUGAAAUGAUUGGUUCUUGUUAGUUUUUCUUUAGAUUGUGCUUGGAAAGUACUACUUUGCUGAUGUUAUAUAUGUUGUAUGUGUGGUAGGUACUCAUAGAGAGAGACGCCAUGGUGUCUUCCACUGGGGUUGCUACUGCACAACCUCUUUUUUCUUUUGGAUUGAUUUCUGACGUCCAAUACGCUGACAUUCCCGAUGGUCGCUCAUUCCUUGGUGUUCCACGGUAUUAUCGGCAUAGUAUUCUUGUUCUGCAGAGAGCAGUUAAAGAAUGGAAUACUCAUCAGAAGCAUAAGUUUGUGAUUAAUUUAGGAGAUAUUGUUGAUGGGUUUUGUCCCAAAGAUCAAUCUAUUAAUGCUGUAAAGAAGGUUGUGGAUGAAUUUGAAAUGUUUAGAGGACCUGUGUACCAUAUGAUUGGCAAUCACUGUCUGUACAAUCUUCCUCGAAGCAAGUUACUUCCAUUAUUGAAGAUUCAAACCCUUGAUGGUCAUGCUUACUAUGAUUUCUCACCGGUGCCUGACUAUAGAUUUGUAGUUCUCGAUACCUAUGACAUCAGUGCCAUUGGUUGGCCUCAAGAUCAUCCAAGAGCAUUGGAAGCCAUGCAAUUGCUUAGAGAGAAGAACCCAAAUGAAGAUAAGAACAGUCCAACAAAUUUGGUAGGGGUUGAAAGAAGGUUUCUUAUGUUUAAUGGAGGCGUUGGAAAGGAACAGAUGGAAUGGUUGGAUGGUGUUCUUCAGGAUGCAACCAAAUUGAAACAGAAGGUGGUUGUGUCUAGCCAUCUGCCUCUAGAUCCUUGUGCAGCAACCGAGGAGGCACUAUUGUGGAAUUAUGAUGAAGUGAUGAAUUUGAUACACAAAUACAAUUGUGUUAAGGUCUGUCUUGCUGGACAUGAUCAUAAAGGUGGAUACUCCAUUGAUUCUCAUGGUGUACACCAUAGAGUUCUUGAAGCUGCUCUUGAAUGUCCUCCCGGCACAGAUGCAUUUGGAAGCGUUUAUGUCUAUGAUGACAGAAUAUCACUUGUAGGAAUUGACAGAAUGGCGAGUACAGACAUGUAUUUUAGUCACCAAUAAUUUCAAUUUGUAUGACAUAAAGUGUUGAUGUUUGGAAGACAUUAUUUAAUCAAUAAUUUAUAGAGUACCUAUGAUCUCUAUACAGCAUACUACUCAAAUUUGAACGGCAACAUGCUCCUUCCUUUUGAGAGAGGCAAGAAUGCAACGUGCAGCAUUAUUGGGGUUAGUUACCUAUGUGCUUGGCUAAUUAGUCUUGUAAAACUGUUGCAAUUUGGCUUAAUUGCUUUGCAUAUUUUCACUGAAAACCUUAUAUUGAUCAUGUAACUGUUGUUUACAUAUUCUAGUCACUCAAUCUAAUACAUAUUAGGGGAAUUACAAUCCUUUAAUCUUAUUUGAGAUAAUAAACAUAUUAUGUUGAGGUGCCGAACCACGUAAAUCUUUAUGUGAGUUAUUUUAUUAGAUCAAUAGUUUUUUGAGGUUUCAUGGCCUCAAUAAAUAUAUAGCACCAUAAGUGAAUUAAUAGCAUAUUUUCCACAAAAUUUCAUUGUUGAAAAACCAAACAUAAAUGUGAAGAGUGUUGUCAAGAGCGACAACGAUGAUGAUAGAGGUCGAAGGUGUUUGAUUGCAUAUACAGUGAUGGUAAUUGUUGAAUAAGAGAAAAUGAGAGAGACAUAUGGUGAAACCGUGUGUCUGAACUACACAACGGAGUCUGUUUUAUAUAGGCUCAAGGCAAUAAAUACAAAAAUAAAUAUGGGAGAUAUUAUCCCUACUUACAUGAUAUGUAAUAAAUAUAAAUAUAUUUUCAACACUCCCCCUCAAGCUGGAGCAUAUAAAUCAUAUGCACCAAGCUUGUUACAUAUAUAACUGAUUCGAGGACCUCUCAGAGACUUAGUGAAUACAUCUGCCAAUUGAUCAUUGGAAUUAACAAAACUAGUGGUGAUGUCGCCUGAUUCGAUCUUCUCCCUUACAAAGUGACAAUCUAUCUCAAUAUGCUUGGUCCUCUCAUGAAAAACUGGAUUAGAGGCAAUGUGCAAUGCUGCUUGAUUAUCACAUAUUAAUGUCAUUUGUGUUGCCUCUUCAAAUUGAAGCUCUUUGAGUAACUGUUUCAACCAAAUGAGCUCACAAGUCACUAAUGCCAUAGCCCUGUAUUCAGCUUCAGCGCUAGAUCUUGCAACUACACUUUGUUUCUUACUCUUCCAAGAUAUUAAGUUUCCUCCAACAAGUACACAAUACCCAGAAGUGGAUCGCCUAUCAAUGGGUGAGCCUGCCCAAUCGGCAUCUGAAUAACCAACUAUCUGAGUAUGUCCUCUGUUUUCAUAAAUUAGACCUUUUCCUGGAGCACCUUUAAUGUAUUUCAAGAUUCGUAUCACAAUAUCCCAGUGUUCUUGACAAGGAGAAUUUAAGAAUUGACUUACCACACUGACUGCAAAAGAAAUGUCUGGACGGGUGACUGUGAGGUAGUUUAAUUUACCAACCAAUCUUCUGUAUCUCCCUGAAUCUAAAAAUGGCUCCCCAUGAUUAGGUAGAAGUUUGACGUUUGGAUCCAUAGGAGUGUCAACCGGUUUGGCAUUCAACAAACCUGUCUCUUCAAGAAUAUCCAUAGCAUAUUUUCUUUGUGAAAUUACUAAGCCGUCCUUAGAUUGGGCUACCUCAAUACCCAAGAAGUAGCGGAGCUUGCCAAGAUCUUUAGUUUGAAACUGAUGAGAUAAAUGUUGUUUCAAUUGGAGUAUGCCCUGUUGAUCACUACCAGUUAUGACAAUAUCAUCUACAUAGACAAUCAAGUAAAUGCACCCUUGGGUUGAGUGACGAUAAAAAAGAGAAUGAUCAGCUUCACUUCGAAUCAUGCCAAAUUGUUGCACUACUGUGCUAAAUCUACCAAACCAAGCUCGAGGAGACUGUUUAAGACCAUAGAGAGACCUCUGAAGUCGACAAACCAUGGUAGAGGACUCCCCCUGAGCAACAAACCCAGGUGGUUGCUCCAUAUACACUUCUUCUUCAAGGUCACCAUGCAAAAAAGCAUUUUUAAUGUCAAGUUGAUGUAGAGACCAAUGUCUGAUGGCUGCAAUAGAGAGGAGUAGUCUAACAGAGGCCAUCUUAGCCACAGGGGAGAAAGUAUCACUGUAAUCGAGGCCAAAAACUUGAGUGUACCCUUUUGCUACCAAACGAGCUUUAAAACGAUCAAUCUUACCAUCAGGACCAACUUUCACCGUAUAAAGCCAACGACAUCCUACUAAAGACUUUCCCGACGGUAAAGGAACCAAUUCCCAUGUACCACUACUCUGAAGUGCACACAUCUCGUCAAUCAUUGCUUGUCUCCACUCUGGGUGAGAUAAAGCUUCACCUGGAGAUUUAGGAAUAGAAACAGAAGACAGGGAAGACAAACAAGUAUAAUGCAAAGGAGAAAGACGAUGGUAACUCAAGCCAAUGUAAUGAGGGGAUGGGUUACGAGUAGGACGUAUACCUUUACGAAUAGCAAUAGGAAUAUCAAGGGUCGGAUCCGAUAAAGAAGGAGGUGGCGGUGAAGGAGCGUCUGGAGUGACCUCGGUAUCAAGAACAGGUGUAGGGACAUGUACAACCGAUGGUGGUUGACGACGACGAUAUGUCUGAAGAGGUUGUACAGUUGGAGGAUCAACAAGAGGAGUCUCAAGUGGGACAGUGGGAGGGGCCACAGGAGGUGUCUCAGGUGGGGCAUACGUAAUAGGCUCUAAUGGUAAAAGAGAAGGUGAAAUAGACUUUGGUAGGUCCAGAGGAAUAGUUGCAGACAAAGGAUCAGGAAGCGACUCAUAGUAUGUAACAGACUCAAAAAAUGUGACAUCAGCCGAUAUGAGAUAUCGUCGAAGAGUAGGAGAAUAACAACGAUAACCUUUUUGGGACCGAUGAUAACCCAGAAAGACACAUUUUAAUGAUCGAGCUGAAAGUUUGUCAAGACCAGGAGUGAGAUUGUGGACAAAACAUGUAGAUCCGAAGACCCGAGGAGGAAGUGAGUGAAGAGGGGUACCAGGAAAGAGGAUCGAGUGAGGGACUUUGUUAUCAAGAGCAGACGAAGGCAUGCGAUUUAUAAGAUAGCACGCCGUUAGAACAGCAUCGCCCCAAAAGCGAGAUGGUACAUUACCAUGAAGAAGGAGAGUACGAGUGGUUUCAAUAAGGUGCCGAUUUUUGCGUUCGGCUACCCCAUUUUGUUGAGGUGUAUGAGCACAAGAUGUUUGAUGAAGAAUGCCGUUAGAGGUCAUAAAAUUUUGAAAUUGAUGGGACAAAUAUUCACGGGCAUUAUCACUGCGCAAAGUGCGAAUGGAUACACCAAAUUGAGUUUUAAUUUCCUUAUAAAAUUGUUCAAAAAUAGAAAAUAAUUCAGACCUAUUUUUCAUUAAAAAUAACCACGUACAACGGGAAAAAUCAUCGAUAAAGGUAACAAAAUAUCUAGACUCAAGUGUGGAAAUAGUACGAGAGGGACCCCAAACAUCUGAGUGAACUAAAGCAAAUGGGGAGGAAGCUCGUUUAUUAGCUCGAUCAGUGAAAUGACUACGAGUGUGUUUCCCUAAUUGACACGACUCACAAUUUAAGCUAGAUAUUUUGGUUAGAUUAGGUACUAAUUGUUGAAGUUUGGGAAGACUCGGAUGACCUAACUGAGCAUGUAUAGUAAGAGGAGAAUAUGUGGUAGGGCACGCUGUUGAUGGGUUUGAGAGAUAAUAAAGACCAUUAGACUCACAUCCGACACCAAUUUGUCGUCCUGAUAUUCGGUCUUGCAAAGUAACAUUGCAAUUAGUAAAUGUGACAACACAGUCAUGAGAACGAGUCAAUCGACUGAUAGAAAUUAAAUUAAAUGGGCAUCCAGGCACAUAAAGGACAGAUUUAACUAACAGAGUAGGGAGGAUUUGGACAGUGCCAAUCCCUUGAGACUGUGUUUGGGAACCAUUGGCUGAGACUAUCCUAGGUAAAUAACCAGAUGUUGUGAGAGAGGAGAAAAGAGUCUUAUUACCAGUAAUGUGAUCAGAUGCACCAGAAUCGAGAAUCCAUGGGCUAUGAGAAGGUGAGAUGCAAACAGGUGAAUUACCACUUUGUGCGGCGGAAACAGCGGAACUCGAGUUCUGACAAUACUCUCUCCACCGAAGAAAAUCUUUAUAAGUAGCCAUAAUCAAUAAGUAGUUACCUAAAAACCAGCAGCGAAACAAUGGCGGAAUAUGGUUUUUUUUUUCGAUGAACAGUACCGCGCGAUGAACAGUGUCGCUCAAUGAACAGUGUCGCGCGAUGAACAGUGAACAGUGGAGAAAAAAAUGAACGAAAAAGCGACAAAGAAGGGUAAACCGGAAUUGAGACACGGUUUACCGAAAAAAAAUCUCACCGAAGGACAGUGGGUCCCGGGGUAAUCACGGUAUAGGGUUGUCUCUCUUAAUAGGCUCUAGAUACCAUGUUGAAUAAGAGAAAAUGAGAGAGACAUAUGGUGAAACCGUGUGUCUGAACUACACAACGGAGUCUGUUUUAUAUAGGCUCAAGGCAAUAAAUACAAAAAUAAAUAUGGGAGAUAUUAUCCCUACUUACAUGAUAUGUAAUAAAUAUAAAUAUAUUUUCAACAGUAAUGAUAGAGUGCAACCAUUUCUAAUAAUACUGGAUAAUUCUCUUAAUCAUACCAUGUUAUCUAUUUGGGGAAGACAAUCUUUAUAGUUUUUUUUUCUCGAUUUGAUUGUUGUUUUCAAUUAUCAGAUCAUCACUUAACUACCAAUCUACCAUCAACGUUGACAGUAACAAAAAGACCGCAUUGGUAUAAUAUUUGAAAUUGUAAUUUGUAAUAUGAGAAAUCAUUUGGUGACAAAUAAUACAUGAGAGAUCAGACUAUAACCCAAAAUAAAGAUAAGAACCAAAAUUAUAACUAACCUAUAAAAUAUUUCUUUAUCACACUCAUGCUUAGCACAAGUAUUUCAACUAGAAAAUUUAUAUUUUUACUCAUGUUUAGCGCAUGUACAUCAACUAGUAAAUUUAUAAUACUAUUAUGACAUAAAAAGAAUUAAACUCAAUGAAAGUGUGCAGCAAACAAUAUUUUACCAGAUCAUAACAGUAGUAUAUUCAUAAACUAAUUAACUAAAAGAGAACGAUGGGAAUAAAAGACUUUUGUAUUUUUGCUUUGGUGUUCCUGAUGUCUAUAUCAUUACUGGUCACCACCAAACACUAGUCCUCACUUUCCGGGACACCAACUCUCAUUCACAUGCAUGAGUCUUUAUGUGGCCAAAUACAGACAUUCAGUUCAGUAAUCUAAUGUUUAUAUAUAAUUUCUGUUAUAUAGUCAUAUGUAUACACUAUUGUAUUAUAAAAUAUAAUUAGAUAACGUACACAUACACCUCUGGUUGAUAUAAUAUAACUCAGUUUUCAAGACUAGAUCAAGAAAAAGUAAAAGAGUAGUAUUUUCCAACGGAGUAGAUGACAGAUGUAGAUAGAUAUGGACACAGAUGCCUCUGGACAGAGAAUUAUUGUUGGGCACGUGCUUUGUGACAAUCUCUUCCCUCCAUUAUGUACAUUUGUUUCUACAACCCCAGCUUUUUUGGCCCCACAAGCCUUUAUCAGUUACUUAAACACAUAACUGUGUGGUUGGAUUGAAAGUGACUGCAGAAUCACAUUGUGAUAUUAUAAUUUUAGCAAAAACUAUACUUCAAAGCUUUAACAAAUUCAUACUGUCAAAUGUCAAUUAUCAUAAGUUUACUAAAUUCACUGUUAUCUAAUCGUGCAUAAAAGUAUAUAUUUUUUUAAUUAUAUGGUUAUCAAAACAACACCUUUAGGCUGAGACAUAUCAUGAAUGAUACAUACUUUUCAUUCAACCUUCCAAGCAUAUAAAAACAAGCAAAACUCUGAUGAUGACUCACUGACACAAUGACCCUCCACUGACUCAGAAGUACUACUACUCUUUGUCUGAGUUGAUAAGGGAGUGGAUGAAGAUGAGGAUGAUAAAGGUGGUGAAAAUAUAGACAGUGGUGACAUAGAAUUAGAUGAAAAAACAGGCUUAAAAAUGAACAAAGCGUGCUUUAAACCAGGACUAAAAAGCCAAUCAUGAACAUCCCAAUAUACCUCAACUCUCAUUUUGUUAAGAUGAAUUGACUCAUUGCCUCUAAAUUUCCAUUGCAAAUGCUUCACAUGAAUCGCCAAGUGCCCAUCAAAUCUUAUCUCCAUCUCUGGUUGAACUUGAACUUGUACCCCACUCGUUACAGAAUCUCCAUCUCCAACAUUAUUAUUAUUUACCUUAUUCUUGCACUUUAUAGAAAUCUCAUGACACCUACCUUUCUCAUGAAACUUAGCUUUAGUAGAGAACUUCCUCUUCCCAAAUAUAUGUUCCUUUUUCGAAACAAGAAUCGGAUCAAUAAGUGAUGGUCUACAACCAGUUCUUUUGUAUGCUUCUUUCUUUAGAUCGCCAAGAAGCAACACAACCUCUUGAUCACAAACAACUGCUACAUAGUACUCUGAAGUUGGUUCUGUUUCACCAUUGAAUUUAGCAGCUUUGAGGUCCCAAAAAACAUCGACAGGUUUUCCAUCAACCGCGAACCGCUUUGAACCUUGUUUCCUCCAAAAGUACCAUGGUUUCAGCUCAACUUUGCAGCUAUAUUGAGUUGUUUCCCUUUCUGGUGUUUCCACUGAUACUGAUAGACCAUGAAGCAACAAGUUUUUGCACCAUGCGAUUGUGAUCAAACGGCAGUGAUCAGCUAGUUUUGUUCUGUAUACUGACAUGUAAACACUUCUACCUGAACGUGUCACAGCUCCAUGAUGAUGAUCAUCAUCACUUGCAGAAGAAAAACAUGCAGGAAUACCAAUUGAGUCUUGCAUUGUUCUUGACGAGUUUAAAAAAAAGUGAGAGAAGAUGAAAGUAAUGUGAAGAGAUUGGAGUGAGAAGGAAUUUAAGAUAAGUGAGGAGAUGAGAGAGAUCUCAGUGACAAGCUGUAUGAAAGCUAUGCCAGAUGUGUUAUUGGCAGCAUUAUUAAUGAGAUUUGAAAAAAGAAAUAAAAAAAAAUGUGUAUUUAUAUAUCCAAACUGGCGUAUGGACUGGCAAUGACUGAGAGUUACAGAAGAACAACUUUUUUUUUUAUAAUUUUUUUAUAUUAUAUACACCUGUCUAUAAUCUCUUACCUGUCACCUCUUUUAAUUUAAUGUUUAUUUUAUUUUGGUUUAAUUUAACAUUUAAUUGUGAAGUUGAAACUAGAAAAACUUGUUUUUGAAUGCCAAGGUGGUUUUGAUUUGCUAUUCAAAAGUGCAUACUUCCAGGUAUAGGUAGAUGCAAGAAGGCGAUUUUUCAUCAGAUUUGGUGUAUGGAUGUUUACACACUAAGGAUAGGAGAAUCUUAAUUAUUCAUGACAGUGCAUGAAAGGGGACUAUAAUAUGAUCCAGAAUAACAUGUCAAAACUAAAAGGGAAAAGAAUUUUGAUUAAACCUUUUAUCGUUAAACUAUUAUUCUCACUCCUAUUUAAUUCUGAACCAUAGAAAUGCAAUAUCUUUAAACUAUUUUUAAUUCGGCAAAUUAAUCUUUAAAUUAUUACACCAUCUUUUAUUCGGAAAGUGACUCAUGGAAUUACUUGAUGGAUUGAGAAUAGUUUAAGGUCUAUUUACAAUUUUUUUUUUAUAGUUUAAAGACUAAAUUGAAGAUUUAGUCAAUAAUUUUAUCACUUUUUUAAUGAAAUUUCUCAAUCUCAGCGUUUUAGUGAAUUUUAUGUACGUUGUGUACACAUAUUUAAUUUAUUUUAAUGCAUUGUUUAAUAAACACUCUAUAUCUUUAUCCUAUCACUUCAAAAAAGUUUACUAAAAAAAAGAGUUCUCGUAGAAUUUUUUAUUAUUAGAAAAUAUGAUAAAUUUUAUUAUAAUUAAUUCAUACAAUUACGAGAUUUUGAAUUUGACUUAACAAAAUCGAUAUUUGUCAGUUAAGCUACAAUAUAAGAAAUAAUAUUGUAGAAUUUAUUAAUCUAGUGCAUUUCAACAAUAAUUUAUUUAUUUUUAAUAUUAAAAUGAGUUAGUAAUUAAAGAGAUAGUAAAAAAAGUACACGUGAGAGGCACAAAUGAUAGGAGAGAUAGUGACUAUAAAGACACUCAUUUGUAUAAACAUCCAUUUUUGCUCCACAAUGAGAAUGUCUAUAUAGAUGAUAUAUAUAUAUAUAUAUAUAUUUUUUUUUUUUUGAAGAAGCAUGUAGAUGAUGUUUACAAGGGAAGGACUCCCAUUUUGCUGAUUAAAUUUAUGAGUUUAAUAAUUAUAUAUCGACAAUAAUAAAAAUGUUAUUAACAAUCAAGUUAUAUUGCAUAACAAUGAUAAGUUAUAGUAAUAUCUAUGUGUUUAGAAGCUGCACAUGUUGUAUGGUAUAACUAUUAGGCACAUUAAACAUCCAACUCCUUUUUGCUAUCUUGAUGCCUAUAAACCUACUACAGUUUCUAAGCUUUUAUCCAAUAUAUAAGAUUUUAUUACUUCAAAAUGAGAAAUUAAAGGAAUCUAUCCACAUCGUUACAGUUGCAGAUCUGAUGUAUAUUAGCUUAAAGACAAAGAGUCCUUGUUUUAGAUCAGCAACCCUCAAAUUAAGAAGAAAAUAAAAUUUAUUUGAAUUGGAUCAUUGCCCUUGCUUAUUCAAUAUAACAUCCAAAAAAUCCAGAACACUCCACGUGCAAUUGGAUAAUUUCCAACUGUUACAUACUAAUUAGUAAGUACACGAGAAAAUUAUUGUAUGUUCAUAAAGACUUAGACACGUCAUUUAGACACAUAAAGAAAAAAAUUAAAUAAAAUAUAUUUUAAAAUAAUUAAAUAAUGUGUUUUUUUUUUCUUGUGUUCAAAUUACUUUUGUUUAGAAGUGUCACCAUCUAAAUAUUUUUCCUCACUUACACCCACCAAAUAAGUAAAAAAAAGAAAUUAAACAUAAUAACACUUUAAGUAAGUAAUGAGGUAUGUGUAAUGGGCAUAAUUACAUCAUUUGAUGAUACUGCACUGUGUGUGAAUUUUGUUUCGGUUAAGACAUGAAUCAAUCAUCUUGGUCAUUUUUUUUAAUAGGUCUAUCGUGGAAAUUCACAUAAAAUAAAUGUGAAAAAGAUGGAUAUUUUAGAUUUAACGUGGUAAAAUGAAAGGAUUAGAUGGUUUUAGAUGAUAAUAAACGAAUCAACAUAAUUCAUGAAUCAAUUUAAAUUUCACUAAAUUUUUUUCUUAAAAUGAAAUUCAAUUCAUGCAUUAAUAAUAAUACAAUUCAAUUCAUCCAUUGUCCUAGUUUUAAUGGAUAUAUAUACAUCCGAUCUAUCUAAUUACUUUCUUUUGAGCCUUUCAAUACAUUAAUUACCAUAUUUGUUAUUAUUGUAUUAUUUAUUAUUUUUAAAACUAUAUUUUCCUUUGAUAGAAAAAUUCUGUUAUUUUUCUUAAGAAAUCAGGUUUCAUAUUAUUUUAAAAAUUAUUAACUUCUCUUCUGACAAAAAUUAUUAACUUCCAAAAAUAAUAUUAUUAUUUUCUGAAAACUGUAUUUUUUAUAAAAUAAAAAUAUGGUUUUUUAUUAAUUUAAAAUCUUUUUAUAUUAUUUAAAAAAAAAUGUUUUCCUACUAUUUUGAAAAUAAUUUUAUUUAUUAUUUUAAAAAAAACAUUUUUUACAAUAAAAAACAGAAGUUUUUUUUAAAGUGUUUUAAAUAUCUAUGCUAUUUUUAAAAUAAAUGUAUUCAUUUAAAUAUUUAUUUAUUAUUAAUUAAAUAAUAAGAAGAGUGGUUGGUGGUGGCCGGCAACAGAAGUCUAACCGCCACCGCGACAAAAUCCACGGCCCUAGACAUUCUCCAACCAACCUCCCUAUUGUUUAAUUAAUAGUAAAUAUUAUUUAACAUUUAAAUUUUAAAUUUAAAACAAAUUACUUAUUUUUAAAUCAAAUACAAAAGCUGUUUUUAAAAAUACUAAAAUAGCUCAAGUUUUAUACCAAAAAAAAAAAAAUCAGUAAUAACAAUAAUAGUAAAUCCAGUUUUUUUAAAUUAUAAAUAAAAUUAUUUUAGUAAAUUACUUAAUUUUUAAGAUAAAAAAUCUGUUUCUUUUAAAAAAAUAAAAAUAAAAAGUGUUUUUUUAAUUUAUAAAAAAGUCCAUUUUCUUUUAAAAAAAUAGUUUUUAAUUGAAAAAAUAUUUCUUAAAAAUUAGAAAAAUAUUUUUCCAAAGUAUCUAUUUUAUGAUAAACAAAUAUAAUUCAUUGGAUUUAAUUCAAAAAUAUAUGUAACCAUUGAAUUUGUAAACAUGGUUGGAUUGGAUAUAUCAUUAAAUAGCUGGAUUGAAUCCAAUCCAUUAACUAAUAUUUUAUUUUGUGGAUAAAUUGAAUGGGUGAUAGUUUAAAUGAACAAGUUUGUCACCCUUAAAUUUUAACUCACACUUCAAUACAUUAAAUUAAAUGUUUUUACAAAUACCAUCUUAACUAGUAUAGUUAAACAUGUAUCUUGCACCAGGUAAAAAAUUUAUUAUUUGAAUACAAAUAAUAAUUUUUAAUAAUGUUAUAAUUACAAAUAAAUUAUAAAUAUAGAGAGAAAGAUUUUUUGAAUUUUAAUAAUUUUAAUAGUAAGAGCUUAAUAUUGUAACAUUAAAGAACAUAGUUAAAAUUUAAAGCGAGAUCAUGAUAAAAUAUUCAAUACUAUCACCGUUAAUAAUAAAUUUUUCCCAUUAUUUAAAAAUAAUUUUUAAUAUAAUGAUAUAAUAAAACUAUAUUUAUGUACACACGUAUCAUGAUAAAUAAUAAUUUUUCAAUAAAUCAAAGAAAAUUUGGAUCAUAAAUGAUAAGUAAAAAAAUAUAUAAGAAAAAUUGAAAAACUGUAUUUCGCGUCCGCUGAAAGACGACGCAAAAGGAUUCAAAACCGACGCUAAUGUUGAUUUAGGGUUGAUGUAGAGUCUAGUUACACCGUCGGUCCAACUCACUCUAAACCGACGUCAUUGUAAAAUAGAACGUCCGACGCCACUUUAUCCACGUUAGAUAUGUCAUUUGAAAAAAUCUACUGCGCCAGUGCUUGUCGUUGCUAUAGUCAGUCAAUGCAACAUCUAGCGUCGAUAUAACCGACGCCGCAAACAACUAAUAAAAAUUAACAAAAAAUUAAAGUGAAAUCUAUAUAAGAUAUAACAUCCGUUAGAUCGACGAUAUGGUCUAACAUAUGAAAAAUCAACUAAACUUGUAGCGUUAGUGAUUGCUUAAAUUCUUUCUUCUUUUUUUGCACUUGCACAAUUAUAUUUUUAUGUCUAAUAAAAUAAUGGAUUCUUAAAAAAUAUUAAAAUAGUUAAUGUUUUCACAAAAAGUCACUGCAUUGACAGCAUAACAAGUGCACUACAAAAUAUAAUUUAUUUUGAAACUACAAAAUAAUAACAUAGUAUGAAAUAACAAAAUUACAAAAUACAUAUUUGUCGAUAAAUAAAUACAAAAACUAAACAUAACUAUAAGAUAAAAGUGCAUUCAGUAACUGAUUGUUCAAAUCAUCAUCAUAAUAAGAAUUUAAAGAAGAAUGACUUGUAGUAGAUGAUACAUAUGCUAAUCGAUGCUGCAAAGUGCAUAUCUAUAAUUGUUGGAGGUCUGAAGUAAAUAACAAAUAUUUUGGUGAGGCACUUAAAGCAAGAGCUUUAGUGCCUUUCUCUUGAAUCAACUCUCAUGUUAAGUUGAACAUGGAGUCUUUAAAACAUAAAUAAAAUUUUAUUUGAACUAUCUUUCAAAACUUUAUUGUUUGCCCUACCUUGUCUACUCUCGUGUUGGUGUCUUUGUCUAUUCUUCAUCACAUCCCCAUUAGUUACUUGUCUUUGUGUUCUUUAGUCUAGGGUUUUAAUAUGUCGUAAUAAAUAAAAAUGCAAGGUAGUCUUGUCAAUUCUGCUCGACAAUCACGUUUGUAUUCUUAUCUUAACAUAAUAUUUUAACUUAGUAUAGCAUGUCAUAAUAUGACUCAUUGGAACUAACAAAUAAUAAAUAAGAUUCAAAAAAUGCACAUGUACACCUAACAAAAUUUAUUAAGAUACAUGGCAUUAAAUUGUAUAGCACGUAUCUUAUCAAGGUGAACAAUCAAUUUCAGUUUAAUAUUUAUUAGACCACUUUACAACUUAUUUGAGUUUCGCAAUAAUUAAUGUCAUUAUUUAGCAUGUACCUUGAUCAAAGUGAACAUUCAAUCACUUUCUAUCAUUAAUGGAACAAUGUCUUAUUUAGGAACCAAAUAUAUUAAUGCAUCCAGAACCAAUUACCACUAUAUUGUCGGGUACUCUUCUCAAUACAAAGGUGCAUGCAUAAAUAUUGUUUCGUAUACAGAAAAUGUCGAAUCUCUAUAAAACUCACUUUUUGUUACCUCAUGUGGUAUAAUAUAUUCCUUUUGAAUAAUAAUGUCUACUAUGUAUGUAGCCAUCGAAUCAACCAAUCAUUUUUUGACAAAUAGGAGAAGAUAAGGCUAAAAUGAAAAUUUGCAAGGAAGUGGAAGAAGAUAGGGAGAUGUUGCAAAACAAGUACUUAAAGAUAAGUAUAAUCAGAUGGUAUAGUUGAUUGCAUAUCUUUUGGUGCUUGCAAUCUAAGUAUUAUCUAUGGAUAUUUGUGAAAGUGAUGUAUGGUGUUCGAUUUAUUUUUGGAUGCCUUGGAUAUUGAUUUAUAUUAAAUUUGAAGAAAAAAGUAAUUUUUGUGUAUGGAUAGAUUUAUCUAGAAACAGGUCUUACCAUCUAGUAGUAUACUAGUGUUGGUGCGAUAUGUACACAUAUAUUUUAUUUAUACACAGUUAUAAUUUUAAUGACUUUACAAAUAACUUAGUUAUUUACAAUAUAUAAAUAUGAUAAGAAUAAAAAAUUAAUAAUUUAAAUUUGAAUUUAAUUGAUAUAUUGUCGAUGUAAAAAAGUUAUACAUAUAGAUCUUAAUACUUUCAUUUUUAAAAUAAAUUUCCAAUUAUUUAUGUGGUUGAGUGUGAUUAAAAAAAUUUAAUUUAUUAUAAAUUGAUAUAAAAGUUGGUAGAAAUACUAUAUACACAUGCAAUAUGUUAUAAAAAAUUAAUAAAUUACUCUUAUAUUUAUGUUGUAAUUGUUUUUUUUUUUAAGGAAGUGUUGCAUGUAAUGUUGUCACCAUCAAAUUUAUAUACUCUUAUAUUUUUUAAGGAGGCAUUUUAACUUUAAAAUAACUUUUUUACAAAACGAUAAAAAUGAAUAGGAUAGAUAGUUAUAAUACAUUCAUAUAUAAUCAAUGAUAUACACAGUAUCUUUACCUAAAAAAAAUUUAUUAAUAAAUCUUAAGUUUUUUUGGAAGAAUUAUAUUCAAAAUCAUAAUUUUGAAAAUGGUUACCUUGAAAAUUCAAAUAAAAUGCAACAUUUUAUCGUUUUAAUCAAUGCUAUUCAUUCAGUUGUACCCGAUAUCAAGGAUUUGAAAUUUUGAAGAGGUUAUUUCACAUUCAGUAAAUGGAAAGAAAAAAAAAGGCCAUUGGCUUUGGAGAUAUCAUUGGACUUGUGAUAGAUAAAGUUUUAGUUGACGUUGUGCUUAGACAACACAAAGAUUUGAGAAUACAAUAUGUACUUUGUAAAGUUGGCUAUUUUUCUUUAGAUAUUUCAGAUAGCAAGAAGAAUAUACUCGAAAUUGUGAAGAACAACAAAUAAAUCAAUAUCAAAUACAAGCAUGAAGACACACGAAAAUAUACCCAAAACAAAACAUAUUUGUUAGGAUAGGACUUUUUCAUAAUUUGACAUUGAAGGAAGAUAUACACAAAAGAAGAAAACAUUGAAGUGUCACCUAUUAAGUCACGAACACUCAUGUGAUUGCCACAUUCAAUCAAUAUUUACUACAAUCGAUUCAACAAAUUCAAAAAGUGUCAACCAGAGGCAACAAUAAUUGUUAGAAACCAACUCAUGUUUCGAUCAAUUGGCAAUGCAUAUACGAAAGAAGAAACAGGAAAAAAGAUAAAUAUAUAAACAAUAUAAUAUACUUUUAGUGUAUAUAAGAAAGAAGAAACAAGAAAAAAAGAUAAAUAUAUAAACAAUAUAAUAUAUUUUUAGUGUUCUUUCCAUGAGGGUUGGUCAUUAAGAUAUAUCUGUUGACACAAAAUUUCUCUCAAAUAUUUUAAUAACAACAAAAUUGUUUCAAAGAUUCUGAUUAUAUGUAUUAUCUAACUUGUAUUCUUGAUUUUAACAAAUUUAGAAAAUAGGUUAUUCACAUUCUUUAUCAAAUAAAAUAUUUAACACAUAUUAAUGUGUCUUCUACGUUAGAAGAUAAGCAAAAAAAAUAAUGAAAUUAUGUCCUCUAUAUCACAGGAUAAAAUAAAACUGAAGAGAUGAUGAAUUUAUGUUCUUUAUGUAAGAGGAUAAACAACGCAGAAUAGAUGAUGAACUUUUGUUGUCUAUUCAUCUCACACGUGGGAAAAUGAGUAAAAGAAUCAAAGUACAAAAAGUGAUAUCCUUAACUCCUAAGGCAAGAUACUACAACUGUUGGAAAAUAAAAAAGUCAAAAAGCACAAGUCACAUUAGAAUUAAUGAAAGCUUAAUCCUCCUACCUGAUGAUGGACUAAACACUCAUCCUCCUACCAUUUCUUCUAACAAGUACAACUGAAGGGCAUAUUUGCAAUUCCAAAUAAAGACCAUGGACAAUCAUCUAAGUCUCCAACUGAUACUUUGUGCUUCUCGUCAUAUUUGAAGCACCAUUAUUUCUAUAAAUUGAGAUGAUCUCAUCCUCUUAAAACACAACAAAUAUCAUAAAAUCCAAAGAUUAAAGUUGUGUAAAUCAAUCUCAUCAUCAACAUACUUUCUACUAAUCUUAAUUAUAUCUUUGAUAUUAACUUGCUGCAAUCUCAAACAUCAUGUAUAUCCUUAAGUUAAUAUUAACUGACUGAUAGUUGUGUAAGUGUUAUAAAACAAGAAGAGAAAUUGUAUAUGUAAGUCUGAUGAGAUUAAGAAAAUACAUAGUGAAAAUCCUUUCAAGAGGACAUGUUUUUUUGAGCCAUAGUGAAAAGCUCACAAGUAAGUGAGGACUGAACGUAAUCCAUUUUGGGUGAAGCAAUAUAAAUUUGUGUUUAUCAUUCUCUGUACUCUUUUAUCUUUAUUUUAUCUAACUUUGAUUUCAGUUCUAAGCUUUCAUCCUCUAUCACUCAUUUAUUAUCCUCACAUAGAGGAUACUUUUUUAAAAUAAAAAGAAAAUUAAGAAAAAUACAAUAUCUCUAUUCAACAUCCUUCUAGUGAUAUUUUAGCUACUUCACUCUCAAUGCAACAAUCGUACUCCCACAAUAGAAUUACAAACUUAUAUAAAAGCAUAAAUCAAGUCACCAAAUAAAAAACGUAAUUAAAAAAAGAAGAUAAGAAACCAACCAAAUUAGGAUCGAUAACAAAAGAAAAAUGAGAUAAAGCAUAAAUAAAAAUCCCUUCAUAAAAUACAUAAAUUAAAACAUUAAACAAAAGGUCACACUAAUGACACAUGUUAAUGAUACCUAAAGUAAAAAAAUUUCAUAAAAAAUUAAUGUUUAGACUUUCAAAAACUAAAAUGCACAAACUCUAAGAUAAAAUUUCUACAUUUAAUUUAUUAAAAAAAGAAAAAUAGAUGAAAAGUUAUAAAAAAUAAUAAAUUAUCCGAAAUAGAUGAAAAUGUCUGAAUUUCUACUAUCUUUUAUGCACAAUAGAUGAAAAGUUACCGGAAAUCUAUACAUUAUAAUAAAACAAACAUGAUAAAUUGGCAAGUUUGACACGUGUCAACAAACUAUAGUGUUAAGAAAAUAUCAAGUUUCUAUUAAUAGAAAUAAUACGUGCUUAUGCUUGAGAAGUUAAUGGCCAAUUAAAAAAUAAAAUGAAUAAAUUAAAAAUAAAAAGUUUUUUUUGUAAGAAAAGCAUAAAACUUCGGUUACAUCACGAUCUUUGUCCACGAUACAUCCGUUGAGAAUUUAAUGGUCAAUUAAAAAAUUAAAAAUAAAAUACAAUAUACCACGACUUGACAGUUUUUUCUAUGCGUCCGUUGAGAAGUUAAUGGCCAAUUAAAAAAUAAGAAAAAUAAAUUAAAAAUAAAAGAUUUUUUUUAAGAAAAAAAUAAAACUUCCAUUACAUGAGAAAUGAAUGACCAAUUAAAAAAUAAGAAAAUAAAUUAAAAAUCUAUACAAUUUAAUAAAGCAAAAUGAUAAUAUAUUUUUUAUAAUAAAAUUAAAUUUAUGUUACACGACUUUGUAUGUCAGUUGAAAAGUUAGUGGCCAAAAAAAUAAAAGAAUGAACUAAAAAUAAAAUACACUACACCACUACUUACGUUUCACCGUUGAGAAUUUAGUGGUCAGUUAAAAAAGAAAAAGAAUAACAGCAAAAUACGUUCAAUUACACCCACCACGACGAGACACUUUUUGAAAUUAUUUUUUAAACACUAUUUAACAACCACAGCUUCAAAUUAAUUUAUUUUAUUUUAUGAAUUCUUUUAAUUCCCUCAUACUUUCUUUCUUAAUUCCCGUGCUUCGUAAACGAUAUCUUUUCAAUUCUCUCAUUUUUUGUGUCUCCAUUAUAAAUAUCAUUCAUAUUAUCUCGGUAUAUACAAUUCAUUUUUUAAAUUUUUUUUACCAAAACUUUGUUAUUCAUCUUUAUCCAAUGUCAGUCUGAAACAAAAAUCAUAAAAUCAGUUGCUUCAAUUUCUUCAUCAAAGUUUGUUGCUUCAAUUUCUCCAAAAAAUGAGUCAUGNNNNNNNNNNNNNNNNNNNNNNNNNNNNNNNNNNNNNNNNNNNNNNNNNNNNNNNNNNNNNNNNNNNNNNNNNNNNNNNNNNNNNNNNNNNNNNNNNNNNNNNNNNNNNNNNNNNNNNNNNNNNNNNNNNNNNNNNNNNNNNNNNNNNNNNNNNNNNNNNNNNNNNNNNNNNNNNNNNNNNNNNNNNNNNNNNNNNNNNNNNNNNNNNNNNNNNNNNNNNNNNNNNNNNNNNNNNNNNNNNNNNNNNNNNNNNNNNNNNNNNNNNNNNNNNNNNNNNNNNNNNNNNNNNNNNNNNNNNNNNNNNNNNNNNNNNNNNNNNNNNNNNNNNNNNNNNNNNNNNNNNNNNNNNNNNNNNNNNNNNNNNNNNNNNNNNNNNNNNNNNNNNNNNNNNNNNNNNNNNNNNNNNNNNNNNNNNNNNNNNNNNNNNNNNNNNNNNNNNNNNNNNNNNNNNNNNNNNNNNNNNNNNNNNNNNNNNNNNNNNNNNNNNNNNNNNNNNNNNNNNNNNNNNNNNNNNNNNNNNNNNNNNNNNNNNNNNNNNNNNNNNNNNNNNNNNNNNNNNNNNNNNNNNNNNNNNNNNNNNNNNNNNNNNNNNNNNNNNNNNNNNNNNNNNNNNNNNNNNNNNNNNNNNNNNNNNNNNNNNNNNNNNNNNNNNNNNNNNNNNNNNNNNNNNNNNNNNNNNNNNNNNNNNNNNNNNNNNNNNNNNNNNNNNNNNNNNNNNNNNNNNNNNNNNNNNNNNNNNNNNNNNNNNNNNNNNNNNNNNNNNNNNNNNNNNNNNNNNNNNNNNNNNNNNNNNNNNNNNNNNNNNNNNNNNNNNNNNNNNNNNNNNNNNNNNNNNNNNNNNNNNNNNNNNNNNNNNNNNNNNNNNNNNNNNNNNNNNNNNNNNNUUAAUUUUGUCUCAAAAAAUUGUAAAUUUGUAUAUGUAUAUUUCUAUCCUCUUAUAUAACAUUUGUAUAAUUAAAUAAAAAAUAAUAAUUUAUUUAAGUAAAUAUAAAUUUUAUUUAGGCUUCUUAACGUGAAUUCAAUUAAAUUUCCAGAAUAUUGAAGAGAAAAAUAAUAAUUUAUUUAAAAAAAUAUAAAAUUUAUGUAUGAAUUAAAAAAACAAUUCAUUUCAUCGAUUCAUUGAAAAUAGUGGUUUUUCAAACUUCAAACACUAUUUUAUCAAAUUUAAAAACUACUAUACUAUACAUUUUAUAUUCAAAGGAUUCAUGAAAGAUUAAUGAAGACUAAUUUUUAUGUGUAUUGUAAUUUUUUGUUUGUAAUAGGAAAAUUAUUUUUCUUUAGUAUUUUGUGAGUAGUACUAAAAUGAAAUAUAUUUUGCCACUUGAUACAGCAAAAUUUAUAUUAAUUCUUAAAUGUCAUGUAUUUCAUAUAAAUAACAUAGGUUGAAUAAUAAAAAUAAAAAUUCAUUAUUAAGUUACUUACUCAUCUUUACAUUUACUAAUUUACUUAUUUUAUAUAUGUCCAUGUCCAUUAUUUUAAAAAAAUUUAUUUCAUCUAAUCUAAUUAUUUAAUUUAAUUUUUUUUAAUAAUUAUUGUUUUUAUUUGUUUAAAAUUAAAAGUAUAUAAUAAGUUUUUUGGAAAGAAAAAAGAUUACGUGUAGAAUUCAAAAAUAAGACAUCAUCAUUUGAGUAAGAUUAAAGAGUAGUGUUAGAGUCAUACUUUUUAUCAAUAACAUUGAGCCUAUAAGAAAGUAGUUUUAAAGUUAAGUUAAAAUUAGAUUUUUUUUAAUUUUUUUUAAAUCAAUUUAUUUUUUUUUAAUGUCAAUAAAAUUUAUGAAAUUUGAUAUAUAUAUAUAUAUAUAUAUAUAUAUAUAUAUAUAUAUAUAUAUAUAAUAUAACCAUUUAUUUAUUAAAAUCGUUGUUUCCGUGCGAACGCACGGAUUACAAACUAAUAAUAAGAUAAUUAAGUGCAUUGAUAAGAUGAAGAGUUUACAUUAAUAAAGCAUGUGAAAAAAGGUCUCAAAUGUGGAAGAAAAAGAAAUCAAAAUUGGUAGCAAAUUAUGAAAACCAACAUCAUUUAGUUAAUUGAAUUAAAUAGAGAAUUGGAAAGAAUAAUCUAGAUGGGAAAAUUUAAAGCAACUCUAGAAACCAAUUUUAUUAACAAUAAUGAUGCUAAAUAAAGAAAGAUAGAUGGAAAGAUUUAAAUGCAUCCUCGAUUUUCUUUUUCUUAAAAUAAUGCAUCAUUGUUUUUUUUUCUUCUCACCAAGCAUCAUCGACUUUUUUGAUAAGCUGAAAAAGUUGUUUGUAAUAAACACCCAUGUUUUUUUUUUAAAAUAUUAUUACUUCAAAUUGUUAUUUUUUAGAUUUUUUAAUUAUUGACAUUGGGGCAUGUUUCAAAUAUAUGUACUUUAAUGUAGUGACUUUUUAAAUUUUAAAUUAACUUUUUAGAAAGAUGUAAUAAUACUUGGAUCUCCCAUUAAAAAUUAAAUAACUAAAUUCAAAUAAUUUAAAUUUUUUAAAAACAAUUGAUAUAUUUAAAUAAUUUAACCUUCAAUCCAAAUAUAAACUUAAUCUUCUAACAUUUUUUUUUCUUUCAAAAUCUAAUUGCAAACCCAACUUAAAAUCAAUGAUUUCCAAAAUUCUAUGAUAUGCAUGCACAAUCAACACAGUGAUAUCACCGUACUAACUCUAAGGAAACGCAACCUACCAUGUUAUAGCCAUGCUACUUAACUUGUCAAGAACAGAAACCUUGGGGAUUGGGUAUUGAAUGCCACAUGAGGUGGGGCUCUUGUAUCUCUUUCAGCCUCAAUCGAUUAUGUUUCUGCUACACUUUCUCCUCCUAUUAAUUAAUUAGUUUUUAGGAUUUUAAUUGAAUCAUUAGAUGGAUUAGUGAAAGUGAUUUUUAAUUUUAUUUGUUAAACAAUGUCCAGUCAACUAUACUAGUACAAUCUUCAAAAAUUGACUAUGCCGGUGGAUCUUUUAAAUUUUGAACUAAAUAUUGUGUUCGUGGAUGAAAAAGACCUCUUGAAUCAAUCUAUUAACAUUAUUAUGAGAUAAAAUGUGCACUUUUAGUAAAGCUAUUUUAUAUUGAGUAUUAAUCAUAAUGUGUCAAUUUAUAAAAUACAUGUUCAAUAUUUUUAUCAAUUUUUUAUUUAUGUCAACCACAUUAUAAAAUAACUUUUAUUAGAUACAUAUUACUUAUACUCUAUUAUUAUACUGCUCCUAUACUCCACCCACUAAUAAUUAUUAUACUAACACAAUUUUUCAACAUUUAAUAAUUAAUACUAUCUGAUCUUGAAUAUAAAAAAAAUUGUAUUAAUUAAAAACUACAUUAAAUAGUAGUUAAUUCGGCCAUUAAAGUUUAAAAAAUUAAUGUCAAAACAAUUAAAAGAUUAUUAUAUAAUUUUUAAAGGUUGAAUUGAAAGAGCGAAGCGGUUAUCUAAAUGAUUGAUAUUUAGAGACGGAGAGAAUUAGCAUAAAAAAAUGAAAUUGAGCGAGGAAUGUGAAACUUAUAAGAGAAGUAAAGUCGAAAGGCACAAAAUGAAGCAUGAUAGAAAAUUAAGGUGAAAGUGAAAUUAAACCUAAACCGAAGUAGCCUAUAGUAAUUAAAAAAGAAUAGUAAUAAUAAGAAAGCGACGAGAAAGGCAAUCGUUAUUUGGGGCACUGCAACAGAACCUUUCCUUUCCUCUUUGCAUGCUGCUCUCUCUGCUCUUCCAUACUCUCAUUACCAAUACUCUUAUUAUAUAAUAAAUUCAUUCUCUUCUAUUUAUUUCUUAAAUUCCAAUUUCACUAAUCACUUCCUACCUAGGGUUCCCAACAAUGCUGCCGGAUUCCUCUGAACAAGAAGACGAUUCUGAAAUCGACUUCGUCGAAAUUGAUCCUACUGGUCGAUACGGUCGGGUGCGUUCCAAUUCUCAAAUCUAACGCUCAAUGCCGUAAUUAUUCAUUGUUUCGCUUGAUCUGAUCUAAAACUAACAAUGCCUUGUUUCUUUCUGAUUCGCUUUGAUGGAUUCAACAGUACAGGGAAGUUUUAGGAAAGGGGGCUUUCAAAAAAGUGUAUCCUUUUAUUUUGUUUCUAUAUUUUUACGAUCAAUUGAUAAAUUUCAAUAUUUAUUGAAUGGAUGUAAUCGUGUACCAAUGAGAUGAUUUGUUAGGAAUGAAAAUUUCCUUGACAGUAAUUUGGAAAUGUAGAUAUCGUGCUUUUGAUGAAUUGGAAGGAAUUGAAGUGGCUUGGAAUCAGGUUAAGGUGUCUGAUCUAGUGCGUAAUUCUGUAGAUUUGGACCGCCUUUAUUCUGAAGUUCAUUUGCUCAAGACUUUGAAGCAUAAAAAUAUUAUUAAAUUUUACAAUUCAUGGGUUGACGCCAAGAAUGAGAACAUUAAUUUCAUUACUGAAAUUUUCACCUCCGGAACAUUGCGCCAGUGAGUGUCCUUUGGUUCUUUGUCCCCUUUAUGUAUUUGUUUCGUUUUGUCAUUUUCAGUCCCCCUUUUAUAUUUUGGCGAGCUCUUUUGUUUUAAGUUUAGCUUUCUUAUUUUAGAUACCGGAAGAAACAUAAGCAUGUUGAUUUGAGAGCUUUGAAGAAAUGGUCUAGGCAGAUUUUGGAGGGCCUUUCGUAUCUUCAUAGUCAUAAACCACCAGUUAUUCAUCGAGACCUUAAGUGUGACAACCUUUUUGUCAAUGGGAAUCAGGGGGAGGUGAAAAUCGGUGAUUUAGGAUUGGCAGCCAUCCUUCAACAGGCCAGUUCAGCUCACAGUGUUAUCGGUAACAUUUUCCUGGGAAAUCAUUACAUGUAUUGCCCUUUUCUUAUGUGUACUACUGUGGAAGUAUUGUUACUUAAAGUAUUUGUAAUUCUCUUAUGAGCCCCAGGUACCCCGGAAUUCAUGGCCCCAGAACUUUAUGAAGAGGAGUACAAUGAGCUUGUCGACAUAUAUGCUUUUGGCAUGUGCUUACUAGAGUUGGUAACUGUUGAGUACCCGUAUAUUGAAUGUGCCAAUGCUGCUCAAAUAUACAAGAAAGUGACAUCUGUAAGUGCAUUGUUAUCAAAAUGUUGGGACAAUUUUAGGGACUGUUUUUUUUUUUUGAAAUUUUUUUAGGGAUUGUUUAAAAAACUUUUGAAGUGAACAAUUGUCUACAUUUAUAGAAAUAAUGAAAAUGUCAAAAAACCAUUUUCAUUAUUUCUGGAAAUGAUCUUAAUCAACUACCAUUUCAUAUUUUCUCCACGACAAUAGUUCACCGCAAGAGUUUUUCAUGAAGACAAAAUGAACACACAUUUUAGAAAAUGAUAACACAAAAUGUUUUUAUAAAAUAAGCGCGACCUUACUUGUUGUGUAAUGCAACACUGGUAUUAGAAUUUUUAACUCCAAUCACAGUGGUGGUAGGUAUAUUAUUCAAUGCACUCUGAAAACUCCGUAAAUUUUCGGAGACUGAGAUUUUCUGGAACCUUUAAAUAGUACAUCAAUUUGAUAAAACCAUUUCUGCUUGUGCGUGUCUAAGAUGUAAUGUCCUGACAUUUACUUCAUUUGAAAUUUGAAUCUUUUUGAACUACUCAAUGAUACUUUCAAGGUUAUAGUUUGCAUUUAUCUUUAUUGAUUGUUUCACGAAUCAACUAGUCAAACCCCGUGUUCAAUUCAAUAAAAGUAUUGGAUACUUCACGAUCCUGAGCAGAUGUUGAAUAUUAUAGAAAUUUCAUAUAAUUGGAGUGUUCUAUAAAGAAAAACUGGUGAAUUUGCAGUGACCAAACUCAAAAUAACAAAAUAAGAAUCCUAGAAUAUCUGAACUGGUAUUUUUUUUCUUCUUCUUUUCUACUUGCUGCAUCUGAACUCUAGUUAGCUUCUAUGGCAUGAUGGUUAACCUAUCUUCUUUAUAAGAAUCAUUUGAAGUCUUACCUUUCCUUAUGUAUGAAAUUGCUAGGGAUAUGAUUAGAGUUUUUUAGUAGAAUCCUGAAAAGGCUAGGUUAAACUCAACAUUGAAAAAUAUGUUUUUACUUUAUUGUUUUACUGAUAGGCUGUGCUGCGAAUCAAAUAACUGUUUACAAAUCCUUGUUCAAGUGAUAUUUCCUGCUUUUUUGGGUCUGUUUUAGUUUUUCAAUAAUUUUCAUUUUUAUUGUUUUGUUUUGCCAUUUUUUAUCGUUGUUGUUUCUUUUUAUUCUAGGGAAUAAAACCAGCAUCAUUGGCAAAAGUGACAGAUCCCGAAGUUAAAGCCUUCAUAGAAAAGUGUAUUUCUCGUGCAUCAGAUCGGUUGCCUGCAAAGGCUCUCUUGAUGGAUCCCUUCCUUCAGUCAGAUUAUGAUGGUGAUAGUGUAGGUCGAUCAUCGAGAUCUGGAGCCCACCAUUCAGGUACAUAUACUGUACAUAUAAAGUUCCAGAUGAACAAUUUGCUUUUGUUUACCAUCCAAUGCAUCAAAUGCAGGAAAUAACUUUAAUCAUCAAUCCAUCGGAGAAAGUGCCAAGGAAAACUCUGUUGAGACUAGUUGGGAAUUUACAGUGGAAGGCCAAAGGAGAGAUGUUAAUACAAUAUUUUUAAAACUGCGAAUUGCAGAUUCCUCAGGUAUUCUCUUACUUUGUUUAGUUUUUUUCAAAGCAAGGGAAUAUGUAUUUGCUUUUUCAUGGUUCUGAUAUUCAUUUGUUUGUAGGCCAUAUUCGAAAUAUUCACUUCCCUUUCAAUAUUGGAGCAGACACUUCAAUCUCCGUUGCCAGUGAAAUGGUUGAGGAGUUGGAGCUUACCGAUCAAGAUGUUUCGACCAUUGCUAAGACAAUUGACUCAGAAAUUCAAUACCACAUUCCUAGUUGGAAUCCCAGUGAAACUCCCGACAAUAAUUCUUUUGAAUUUUCUGGCCAGACCCCUGAAACUAAGACUGAGGCUUCUCCUAUUGGAAAUGAUUCUCCUAGCAGCCUUGCUUUGGAAAUAUUACCUUCUGGUCGUAAGUACUGGUCAGACUCACCAAAGGGUGUUGGUGGAAACUCUCCAGCUCCGCGCUGUGCUUCGAACUUGUCUUAUGAAGUGGAUGUGAAUGCUGAUGAAGGCAUCUUGUUUGCAAAUAGUGCGGAGAAGGAAUGUGACAGGACUGCUGAUUCCCCGUUUGAUGAAAGAAGUAUUAUAUCGGACUAUUCUGAAGCAACUGGUGGAAAGUCCUCUCUAGAAGAAAUAUCUGUACGUUACGAUUCUGAAAUAGAGGAUAUCAAUACAAUAGCAACAAAGUUGGAGACUUUGUUGGUUAUGCAAAGAGAGGAGUUAGAUGAACUGAAGAGGAAGCACAAAUUAGCUGUCUCAGAUUUUUUGAGUGAGUUUUCUCCAGAAAUUUGCCAACAGAUCCUAAGUAUAUGCAACCCGGAAAUGCCUGACAGUGAAAUGUAGGGUAAGCUUUCCCUAUAUCUAGAUGCCCAUUUUGUGGGGUUUGUGGAGGAGUGAAAUUCUGAAGUUGAAAUCUUUUUUGCAUGUCACAUGGAAUGAAUUGCGUUUGUAGUGUUAAUAGUGUCCGUGAUUGCUUAAGAGAGGGAUUUGUUUUAAUGGAAAUGUUCUUCUAAUGAUGUUGGGAGGACAUGCAGCUGACUCAUAACUUUGGAUAAUCUUUGCAGGAAUUAAUGUCUUCUUCAGCUUGGAAACUCAAUGUUAUUGCUGUAUUUAUGCUUGAAGCACUCUGGGGGUGAAAUGAUAAGGUCAUCGUAAGACUAGUUCAUAUCAACUUCAUUUCCCAAGAACAUCUGUUGUAUAUAGUUUGGUAGAAGUCAUUAAUUAAGCUAUAGAAAGUGUAUACUCGUAGAUAUUACUUGCUCUCCUUUAAGAUCUUCCCAACUAGGAGUUCACCCUUGAUAGGAGUUAAGGGCAACGAGAUCAACUAUUCGUGGAUUAUUUUUCAUUAUUUAUGUCCAAGUAUUCUCAGAAUUUGGCACCAUCGACUUAAUUAGAUGGAAGUUUGUAAACUUGAUUUUAAGUUAUUUUAAUUUUAUCAAUUAAUCUUAUUUUGAGUUUGAAUGAAAUAUUUGAAAUUUGCAAGUGAAAAUCAAGUUUAUAACAAAACUUGGCAGACCAUUUUAGAAAAAAAUGCGUACGUACAGUCCAUGUUAUCAACAAAUCAAAAUUAUCGAUUUAUGUAUAUUUUUUAAGGUAUCAACUAAAAAAGGUUUGAGUCUUUUAUUUUUUAUAACCAUAUUAUUAUAGGAAUUAAGUGUCUAGUAUCUACCACUGCUCAGCUAAUCUGAAACUUGUUGUGGAUACACAAGGUUGGAUUUUUCCUUUAACCAGUUUAUUUUUAUUUAAUAAUAAAUCAAUGGGUUAUAUAUAUAGAACACAUGAUUUUAGAAUAAAAAUAUAAAUUAUAGGCUUAGACUAAAUUAAAGGAUCAAGAUUUGUUUAUUGUUAUUAUUUGAAGUUAUAAAAUAAUUUUUGAUGAAAAAAAAAGAAACUUAAAGAUGGGCGCGUGUGGCCAUUUAAAUGGACUUGGAAGGAGGUGAGCUCAAUUUCUCAACCGAAAAAUGUUGGUGUCGUUUAAACAUAGUGCAAGUGAGUGCAAUUACUCUACCAAAGUUGUGACUUGUGAAUGUUUGUUAAAAAAGAAGGGAAUAUGUACGAUGUAAACAUACCAGAAAUGAGUGCAAUUUACCAUAUCUAUUUUGAUUAUUUCACCACGAUGUGAAAUGGAGGGAGACACUGUUGAAUUGAAGCAAGGGUUGAUAGUGAAGCUUCUUUUCCAUCACCAUAGUAUCAAUAUGGUUUUGGUUGUUGAAACUUACUGGAAAUGUAUGUUUUUUUUUUUGACAAAAAAUUGGAAGUGUAUCCAAUCAUAUUUGGUUGGAACUAUGGUGUAUAGUAUUGUAUUUGUAGAUGUAGACAAGUCAGUUACUGGACAUAAGUAGUUUUUAAAACAUCGAUUAUUUUUUGAUAUCAAGAAUGUAGUAGUAGAGUUACAUUAUUUGAUGUUAACUUACUAGUUUAUUUAUUUUGAGAUUAAAUUUCGGUUAUAUUUGGAACAAGACUUUAGUCUCUUGUGGUGGAUCUGCCUUCCAACAAGUCUCCUUAACGUGGAUACGUUAAUUGAAUCCAUGUCACAAUCAAGUCUUCGUGGAGCUUCUCUAAUCUUAAGAGCUUAUUUAAGGGAACACCCCAAAUAAUCAUAGCACCAAGGAUAAUAUAUCCAUAUGUGGUUAUAGAUCUGUGUACUUGUAAAAUAAAAACUUGUAAAAAGAUUACUUCCAUGUGUACUUACGUAGAAAUACCCGUGGCAAACGGUUUCAUACUUCGUGUAACACAAAUUUUAGAAAAUAAAAAUAAAAAGUAUUUUCAUAUUUUCACAAACUAUAUGAAUUUAACAGAUUAAUAACAACAUAAUAAUUAAUUAAAUCACAAAAUUAGGGUUGUAUGUUUAUAUUAUAUAUAGAAAAAAAACUCAAAUAAAUAAAAAGAAUAAAUGUUUUAACAAUAAAGUCUAAAAAUAAAUAAAUACAAUAAAACUAAAAGGAUAGAAAGUAGUUAAAAAAAAAAGGCAUUACUAGGUUUGCAUCGAGUAUGAUUAACCUUUAAUUCAAUGAUAUAAAUUGUAAAUGAGAAAUAUAAUGUAGAGUGGAUUGAUUAUAGUGAGGAGCGCGUCCCUCCAAAGGAGAGGAUAGAAUUUGAUAAGAAGUGGUUCUCAUUUCUUUCAUCCACACACACUCACUCAAAUUGAGAAUUCAGAUAACAAACAAAAUCCUCUUCUCUUCACUCCAAAUUCUCUCGUUGAGAACCAUGGCAAUAGCAACGGCUUCUUCUUCUUCUUGUUCCUCCAAACUCAAACUCUCACAACACCCACCACUCUCCCACACUUUCAUCGCAUCCGCUUCAAUUUCAAACUCCAAUACUUUCCGUUCCACCACACACCCCAAACUAACCCUAACUCGUCUAUCCUCUUCAUUUCUAAACCCUUCCACAAUCCUCCAUCUCACUCCCUCCUCUCAACAACAACGCACCAACCGUCCUUCCUUCACCGUCCGUGCCGCACGUGGCAAAUUCGAACGCAAAAAACCUCAUCUCAACAUAGGCACAAUUGGCCACGUCGACCAUGGAAAAACCACUCUCACUGCUGCUCUCACUAUGGCUCUAGCUUCCCUCGGUAACAGCGCCCCUAAAAAAUACGAUGAAAUUGACGCUGCACCGGAAGAGC